AGCAUGUAACACAAGCACCUAAAGACACAUGCGUCACCACAAACAAAAAAGAAAAGAAAAUUAUAAAGAAAUAAAAAUUAUCUUUUUCAUCAAAAAGGAAGGGAAAUUGCAAGCUUUGUUAUUAGAUUGAAAAAUGCAUAGUGGGAAAAUAAAAAACUUUAACCCAAUGGCUAGUUCAUGUAUCAUUGUAUCUACCAGUAAGAAUAUGUAAACUUCAAUAUUAAAUUGUUUGAAACCUACACCUGGAUUUAGAUGUCUAAACCAACUCAAACAGAAUAGGAUAAAUAAUUGGAUGGUGGAAAUUUGAU
Molecule: unclassified non-coding RNA, 308 nt
Filed under: Hevea brasiliensis (rubber tree)
Lineage: Eukaryota; Viridiplantae; Streptophyta; Magnoliopsida; Malpighiales; Euphorbiaceae
Source: RNAcentral